AAUGACCUUGCUUCACAAUUUUGCAGCACGGCAUGCUGCUCCCCAACAUUCAUCUGACUCGGAGGCAAGUCUGUUAACCAUGAUGUCAGCAGGAAUUAUUUUGACAGCUGCCAGAAGCAGUAGCAUAAGACUCAAAAGUUUUCAUUUUAGAAUGUGGUGUUCUAGAAUGUUGGUCUGAUGUAUACAUGCUAAUGGACAAUCAAAGACAGUAGCACAGUGUUCAAGAGAAGAACCCACAAGGAAAAGCGAUCACAUCAAUCAAUUAAACAAAACACCAGUUUUUUCAGGGAACGUUGGGAGGCUGACAAGUUGAUCAAGAGAAACGCAGGACCAAGUCACAAAUUGUGGACAAUGGCAGCGCUUCAGAGGCAGAGCGAGGACACAGCUGAAGUAAUAAUCCCCAACAUCUCUGGCACAAGCCUUGAUAAUUAAAAAAAAAAAGCGUCUC
RNAcentral lists this long non-coding RNA (448 nucleotides) under Equus caballus (horse). RNAcentral describes it as "lncRNA (ENSECAG00000052346.1)". The record is from RNAcentral. Lineage: Eukaryota; Metazoa; Chordata; Mammalia; Perissodactyla; Equidae.